Molecule: ribosomal RNA, 96 nt
Filed under: Clostridioides difficile
Lineage: Bacteria; Bacillati; Bacillota; Clostridia; Peptostreptococcales; Peptostreptococcaceae
Description: partial 23S ribosomal RNA
Rfam family: Bacterial large subunit ribosomal RNA
Source: RNAcentral
UAAGACCCCAGAAAGACUAUCUGGUUGAUAGGUCGAAGGUGUAAGUGCAGCAAUGUAUUUAGCUUAUCGAUACUAAUAGGUCGAGGACUUGACCAA